RNAcentral lists this long non-coding RNA (327 nucleotides) under Phaseolus vulgaris (common bean). Its description in RNAcentral is "long non-coding RNA (PVUL_LNC001341)". Lineage: Eukaryota; Viridiplantae; Streptophyta; Magnoliopsida; Fabales; Fabaceae. The record is from RNAcentral.
UGUGCUCGGCUGCUUUAAGCUUGUAGAGAAGAUAUCAGAGUUGCUGGCAUCCCUUUUCAUCCAGUUUGCUGGCCUUUCAGAUUUUUCAUCCUUAGGCGCAUAAUUCCCCGUGCUCUGCUGUUUGGAGCUUGUAGUGAAAAGAUCAGAACUGCUGGAAUCCCUUUUCAUCCAGUUUGAAGGCCUAUCAGACUUUUCAUCCUUAGACACAGUGUUAUAGUUCCCAGUGCUCUGCUGCUUGGAGUUUGUAGUGAAGGUAUCAGAACCAUUUGCAUCCCUUUUCAUCCAGUUUGCAGGCCUUUCAGAUUUUUCAUCCUUAGACCCUUUUCU